GGUUAAGUUAUGAAGGGCAUAUGGUGAAUGCCUUGGUGCCAGAGGGCGACGAAGGACGUAGCGAGCUACGAUAAGCCACGGGGAGCCGCAAGCAGGCUUUGAUCCGUGGAUUUCCGAAUGGGGCAACCCACUGCGAGUCAUGUCGCAGUACCCAUACCUGAAUAAAAUAGGGUAUGAGGAGUCAUACCCGGGGAACUGAAACAUCUUAGUACCCGGAGGAAAGGAAAGCAACCGCGAUUUCCCAAGUAGCGGCGAGCGAACGGGAAACAGCCUAAACCUUAUCUGUGUAAUAGCCUGCCGGCGUUGCAGAUAGGGGGUCGCGGGGCACAUCACGGACUUCGGCAGGAGUCCGCAGCGGAAGUCUUUUUUCUAGUCGAACGGUCUGGAAAGUCCGGUCAUAGAAGGUAACAACCCUGUAGACGAAAGGAAAAAGUCAGCUGUGAUGUGUACCCAAGUAGCACGGGACACGUGAGACCCCGUGUGAAUCAGGGAGGCCCACCUCCUAAGGCUAAAUACCAACUGGCAACCGAUAGUGAACCAGUACCGUGAGGGAAAGGUGAAAAGCACCCCGGGAGGGGAGUGAAAUAGAACCUGAAACCGUAUGCUUACAAGCAGUGGCAGCACUAUGUCUUCGGACAUGUGUGGCCGCGUACUUUUUGUAGAACGGGCCAACGAGUUACGUUCUGUAGCAAGGUUAAGUGGUUCUGCCACGAAGCCGCAGCGAAAGCGAGUCUGAAUAGGGCGAAUGAGUUGCAGGGCGUAGACCCGAAACCGAGUGAUCUACCCAUGGCCAGUGUGAAGCUUGUUUAAACGCAAGUGGAGGCGCGAACCCACCAAUGUUGAAAAAUUGGGGGAUGAGCUGUGGGUAGCGGUGAAAUGCUAAUCGAACUCGGAUAUAGCUGGUUCUCCCCGAAAUAGCUUUAGGGCUAGCGUCGGAUGAUGAGUCAUGGAGGUAGAGCACUGUUUGGGCUAGGGGCCUUACCAGGUUACCGAACUCAGAUAAACUCCGAAUGCCAUCGACUUUAAUCCGGCAGUCAGACUGCGGGAGAUAAGUUUCGUAGUCGAGAGGGAAACAGCCCAGACCGUCAGCUAAGGUCCCCAAGUACAGACUAAGUGGAAAAGGAUGUGGAAUUGCUUAGACAACCAGGAUGUUGGCUUAGAAGCAGCCACCAUUUAAAGAGUGCGUAAUAGCUCACUGGUCAAGUGAUUCUGCGCCGAAAAUGUAACGGGGCUAAGUCUGUCACCGAAGCUACGGCUUGUCGUAAGACAGGGGUAGGGGAGCGUUCUAAGCAGCGUCGAAGCUGUACCGUAAGGAGCAGUGGAGCGCUUAGAAGAGCGAAUGUUGGCAUGAGUAGCGAGAAGGCAAGUGAGAAUCUUGCCCGCCGAAAACCUAAGGUUUCCUGAGGAAGGCUCGUCCUCUCAGGGUUAGUCGGGACCUAAGCCGAGGCAGAAAUGCGUAGGCGAUGGACAACAGGUUGAUAUUCCUGUACCACCUAACGUCCGCUAUUAGCGAUGGGGUGACGCAGAAGGGUAGGCACAGCGCACCGUUGGUUGUGUGCGUUCAAGCGUUUAGGGAGUGCGGAUAGGCAAAUCCGUCUGCACAUUAUCCUGAGGCGUGAUGAGGAGCGAAAUUUUAGUAGCGAACUGGCUGAUCCCAUGCUGCCAAGAAAAGCCUCUAGUGAGGAUGUCAGGUGCCCGUACCGUAAACCGACACAGGUAGGUGAGGAGAGAAUCCUAAGGCGCGCGGAAGAACCUUCGUUAAGGAACUCGGCAAAUUGACCCCGUAACUUCGGGAGAAGGGGUGCCCCGUUAUCGUGAUACAACUAUGUUGAGCGAGAGGGGGCCGCAGAGAAUAGGCCCAAGCGACUGUUUAGCAAAAACACAGGUCUCUGCGAAGUCGUAAGACGACGUAUAGGGGCUGACGCCUGCCCGGUGCUGGAAGGUUAAGAGGAGAGGUUAGCGCAAGCGAAGCUUUGAAUCUAAGCCCCAGUAAACGGCGGCCGUAACUAUAACGGUCCUAAGGUAGCGAAAUUCCUUGUCGGGUAAGUUCCGACCCGCACGAAAGGCGUAACGACUUGGGCGCUGUCUCAACGAAGGAUCCGGUGAAAUUGUAGUACCUGUGAAGAUGCAGGUUACCCAUGACAAGACGGAAAGACCCCGUGGAGCUUUACUGUAGCCUGAUAUUGGAUUUUGAUAUGGAAUGUACAGGAUAGGUGGGAGACUUGGAAGCCUGGGCGCCAGCCUGGGUGGAGUCACCCGUGGGAUACCACCCUUUUCAUAGCGGAAUUCUAACCGCGAGCCGUUAUCCGGUUCCGGGACAGUGUCAGGUGGGCAGUUUGACUGGGGCGGUCGCCUCCCAAAGAGUAACGGAGGCGCUCAAAGGUUUCCUCAGCGCGGUCGGGAAUCGCGCGUAGAGUGUAAAGGCAGAAGGAAGCUUCACUGCGACACCGACGGGUGGAGCAGGGACGAAAGUCGGACUUAGUGAUCCGGCGGUGCUGCGUGGCAGGGCCGUCGCUCAACGGAUAAAAGCUACCCCGGGGAUAACAGGCUUAUCUCCCCCAAGAGUCCACAUCGACGGGGAGGUUUGGCACCUCGAUGUCGGCUCAUCGCAUCCUGGGGCUGUAUUAGGUCCCAAGGGUUUGGCUGUUCGCCAAUUAAAGCGGUACGUGAGCUGGGUUCAGAACGUCGUGAGACAGUUCGGUCCCUAUCUGUCAUGGGCGUAGGAAAAUUGAAGAGAGCUGUCCCUAGUACGAGAGGACCGGGAUGGACAGACCUCUGGUGUACCAGUUGUCCUGCCAAGGGCACUGCUGGGUAGCUAUGUCUGGACGGGAUAAGCGCUGAAAGCAUCUAAGCGCGAAGCCCCCUCUAAGAUAAGUUUUCCCGCUCGGUUAACGAGGUAAGACCCCAGAGAGAUGAUCUGGUUGAUAGGCCGGAGGUGUAAGGGCAGCAAUGUCUUAAGCUGACCGGUACUAAUAGGUCGAGGACUUAACCUU
Molecule: ribosomal RNA, 2993 nt
Organism: Dethiobacter alkaliphilus AHT 1
Lineage: Bacteria; Bacillati; Bacillota; Dethiobacteria; Dethiobacterales; Dethiobacteraceae
Rfam family: Bacterial large subunit ribosomal RNA
Source: Rfam